AACGAACGCUGGCGGCAUGCCUAACACAUGCAAGUCGAACGAGACCUUCGGGUCUAGUGGCUCACGGGUGCGUAACGCGUGGGAACCUGCCCUUAGGUUCGGAAUAACUCCCCGAAAGGGGUGCUAAUACCGGAUAAUGUCUUCGGACCAAAGAUUUAUCGCCUUUGGAUGGGCCCGCGUUGGAUUAGCUAGUUGGUAGGGUAAAAGCCUACCAAGGCGACGAUCCAUAGCUGGUCUGAGAGGAUGAUCAGCCACACUGGGACUGAGACACGGCCCAGAAUCCUACGGGAGGCAGCAGUGGGGAAUAUUGGACAAUGGGCGAAAGCAUGAUCCAGCAAUGCCGCGUGAGUGAUGAAGGCCUUAGGGUUGUAAAGCUCUUUUACCCGGGAUGAUAAUGACAGUACCGGGAGAAUAAGCUCCGGCUAACUCCGUG
RNAcentral lists this ribosomal RNA (433 nucleotides) under uncultured bacterium. RNAcentral describes it as "partial 16S ribosomal RNA". It matches the Rfam family "Bacterial small subunit ribosomal RNA", at positions 29 to 507 of the family's 1533-position model. The record is from RNAcentral.